CAGUCGCCGCGGUAGUACGAAGGGGGCUAGCGUUGCUCGGAAUGACUGGGCGUAAAGGGCGCGUAGGCGGUUUAUACAGUCAGAUGUGAAAUUCCUGGGCUUAACCUGGGGGUUGCACCCAAUACGUGCAGGCCUGAGUGUGGAAGAGGGUCGUGGAAUUCCCAGUGUAGAGGUGAAAUUCGUAGAUAUUGGGAAGAACACCGGUGGCGAAGGCGGCGACCUGGUCCAUUACUGACGCUGAGGCGCGAAAGCGUGGGGAGCAAACAGGAUUAGAUACCCCUGUAGUCCCUGUCUCUUAUAC
RNAcentral lists this ribosomal RNA (301 nucleotides) under uncultured bacterium. RNAcentral describes it as "partial 16S ribosomal RNA". It matches the Rfam family "Bacterial small subunit ribosomal RNA", at positions 509 to 807 of the family's 1533-position model. The record is from RNAcentral.